UACGUAGGGGGCAAGCGUUGUCCGGAAUCAUUGGGCGUAAAGCGCGCGUAGGCGGCUCGCUCAGUCUGUUGUGAAAGUCCAAGGCUCAACCUUUGAAUGCCGAUGGAUACUGUCGAGCUAGAGUCCGGAAGAGGCGGGUGGAAUUCCUGGUGUAGCGGUGGAAUGCGUAGAUAUCAGGAGGAACACCAACGGCGAAGGCAGCCCGCUGGGACGGUACUGACGCUAAGGCGCGAAAGCGUGGGGAGCGAACAGG
RNAcentral lists this ribosomal RNA (253 nucleotides) under uncultured bacterium. RNAcentral describes it as "partial 16S ribosomal RNA". It matches the Rfam family "Bacterial small subunit ribosomal RNA", at positions 524 to 776 of the family's 1533-position model. The record is from RNAcentral.